Molecule: long non-coding RNA, 2649 nt
Organism: Lolium rigidum
Lineage: Eukaryota; Viridiplantae; Streptophyta; Magnoliopsida; Poales; Poaceae
Exons: 5
Source: RefSeq, a predicted model, not a curated record
UCUCCUCCUUGGCUCUUCCGAUCUCUCCUCGUCUUCUAUUUCUUUUUCUGGUCCACAUGAACCGACGAUGCUCGGUGGUGAAGCCUCGCCUGAAGUAGCGAUGGGACGCGAGUCCCAUUGGGCCUCAAUCAGCAGGGGGAGGGGGCAGGGCUCUCUGCUCUCUUUCUUCUCGCGGAUGAGGGCGCGGCUACAUGGAACCGAGUAGGGGAUCUUGUGAUCCCAGGAGAAGGACUGCUGCCGCCGUCACAGUCCCGAGGUCGACACCUCUCGCCUCUACGCAACCACGAUGCGUCUGCCUCUUGCGGCCAGGUUAUCCCCUCAUCUAGCUCGUGCAACCCCAAAAUCGGCAUACUCCCACCUAGGUCCGCCCUUUUGUACCUGGGGGCGCGAUCUGGAGGAGUAGGGUAUCAGCCACUUGCAGGGAACGAGAGGAGCUGUGAGGAGGAAGGUAUGCACAAAAAGGCGACAAGGAGAAAGGUGGAGUUAUCGCCGUCCAUGGCCACUAACAGAGUGGGAUAAUCGAUAUGCCAUUGACUCUCUGCGGGGACUGAAACAGAUGAAGGAUGAAGACCAGCUGAAAAGGAUUGGUACAAAGCCGCUCCCACUUCAGGUAGAUGCCUCCCACGGGCACCUGCAUAUCCAAGGUGGUCUGGCUGCUGCCGGCUCGCCGGAGGAUGCCUCGGCUGCCGAAGUAAUCUGUCAGAGUGGCCGCUCAGAUGAUCCCCCUUCACAUCCCACCCAGUGAGCUGAGAGUCUUGGUGCACCCAUGGUUCAUUGAGGUGUCCUUGGGCGCAUUGCUGAGGCGGACGACCAUCUUGUCGGCGCCCUCAGAUUCCAUCAGUUCUUCGAGGCCUCGGAGGUUGCAUUGUUCAGGUAUAAUAACACAAAUUCACUUGCAGCCGUGAGCAACAACCUGCUGUUGAUUUUUCUUGGCCUACAGUGACGAUAUUGUAGAUUUUGUCCGCUUUUCAGAAGAAACCAUUGUACACAUAGCAAUCAUAGCUAGAAGUAGGUCUCCAUAAGUUCAUAAGAUGGUUUUGAUAUUGACAUUUUUUUAUUUCUUUUUUGCAUCAAACUCCAUCAUGUGAUGUACAUAUUACUUUGAUUGAAGUAGGUCUCCAUCAUGUAAUGUUGCUUAAAUCUCUGUUUUUGCUGCUUACAGGGAGAACCUAUAUGCACGUCCUAUUCUCUUUAUGGCAUCUACAAUUUUGAUCCCUAUUACAAAUUCGACCAUCUAAUCAGAAUUGUUAUGUAUGGCCUUGUCACGUGGGAACUGCUCGCCAUAAGCUAGGACAUGUGCCAAAACGUUCAGAAGUAUGGCUUCAAUGGCUUAGGAGGGUCCGACAGGAUUACCACCGCUGACAUUCAGUCAAGUGAAAUACGAACUACCAGAGAGUUUUGAUGAUAUAGGGCUCAAGCUGGCAUCUGGCUACAGCUCGUGGGAGUUAGAGCCAAUUUUUUUCAACCAGUCUAAUGACUAAUGCAAGAGUAUAUCUGGGGGUGCACUAAACUGAGUUAGAAGAAGUAAGAAAUGCUCUACACUGAUUUAAGGUCAGUUGGUACAAGAGUAGUCUGCUAAUUUCACCCGGUUUUGAUCACAUGCAGUCUCCUGGAUUCUCUGAUUCAGUAGAAAAAAAAUGGUAUUCACAAAUAAGAUUGCUGAACUGCCUGAAAUUGUUUACAACUCGAAACAACGGAGUUGGAUCCAACAUUCUGGGAUUCCGGGGUCUAUGGUGCUCACUGCUCAGGAGCGAACACAUGCAGCAUUCCCCCUUGCUGGGUGCCCUGCUACCGGCCGCACCAUGCGGCUGGCAACAGCCGCUGAUUAAGGAAAGCGCCACUGGGGACUGGGCACCGUUGCUCAACAACAACCGGAGUAGCUUAUAUGGAUAGAAGGCCGUGAGCAAUGACGACCUAAACAGAACAUAACUUCAUUUGCGAAGUUAAUCUACGAUUUGGAUUUUGGACGGGAUUGGUCAGCAGCUGACCGGUGAGGAGGCGCCCCAAGGGGCGCCCCAACCACUAGUACAUAUCAUAUACGUGCUAGAAAUACACAUGCUGUCAGUUGCCUGCCGCUUUCUUAUUCCCAAUUUCUAAUUACUGCUAUGGCACCGUGUUGUCAACCGCAGUGCUCACCUGUCUUUGCCGUCGGAUUGAGAUCGUGCGGUCCAACAGUCUAACUUGCACGUGGAUCUCCUCUCAUCCACACAAUUCUUAUCUCCGCUCCACCCAUUGAGACCCCCCACGAGGCCACGAACUGCGGGAGAGAGAGAGACCUGAGCGCCAUUGCCAUCUCUUCCUUCCCCAUGGAAAUCCUCUUUGCCCAGCCCCUGCGCCACCCUCCCGGACGCGCACCUCGAGCCGGUCCUUCCUCGACUUCUUCCGCCGCAUCUCCUCUCCUUUCCCCAACCUCUGCGAGUUCCUUCAUGGACUCGCCCAUGGGCGCCAUGGCUGCCCGGACCUCGUUGACCUCCGUCGGUUCGGCCUCGCCUCUCUCUCUCUCUCUCUCUCUCUCCGGCGCGAGUUCUUCAUUGACCUUGAUGAGCUCCGCUGGUCCGACCUCGCCGCUCUCGCUGCGCCCCCGUGCUCGUCCUGUACCUUGAGGACAUCCGUCAAUCCUCCCAUGCUCGUCGGUGUGAGAGGGAAUCG